UACGUAGGGGGCGAGCGUUGUCCGGAAUCAUUGGGCGUAAAGCGCGUGUAGGCGGCCCGGUAAGUCCGCUGUGAAAGUCCAGGGCUCAACCCUGGGAUGCCGGUGGAUACUGUCGGGCUCGAGUCCGGAAGAGGCGAGUGGAAUUCCUGGUGUAGCGGUGAAAUGCGCAGAAAUCAGGAGGAACACCAAUGGCGAAGGCAGCUCGCUGGGACGUGACUGACGCUGAGACGCGAAAGCGUGGGGAGCAAACAGG
Molecule: ribosomal RNA, 253 nt
Filed under: uncultured bacterium
Lineage: Bacteria
Description: partial 16S ribosomal RNA
Rfam family: Bacterial small subunit ribosomal RNA
Source: RNAcentral